CACUGGUCAAUCUAGUGGCGAACGGGUGAGUAACACGUGGGUAACCUGCCCAUCAGAGGGGGAUAACAUUCGGAAACGGAUGCUAAAACCGCAUAGGUCUUCGAACCGCAUGGUUUGAAGAGGAAAAGAGGCGCAAGCUUCUGCUGAUGGAUGGACCCGCGGUGCAUUAGCUAGUUGGUGAGGUAACGGCUCACCAAGGCCGUGAUGCAUAGCCGACCUGAGAGGGUGAUCGGCCACAUUGGGACUGAGACACGGCCCAAACUCC
This 265-nucleotide ribosomal RNA is filed under the name uncultured Granulicatella sp. Its description in RNAcentral is "partial 16S ribosomal RNA". It matches the Rfam family "Bacterial small subunit ribosomal RNA", at positions 81 to 339 of the family's 1533-position model. The record is from RNAcentral. Lineage: Bacteria; Bacillati; Bacillota; Bacilli; Lactobacillales; Carnobacteriaceae.